Molecule: long non-coding RNA, 1755 nt
Organism: Pogona vitticeps (central bearded dragon)
Lineage: Eukaryota; Metazoa; Chordata; Lepidosauria; Squamata; Agamidae
Source: Ensembl
CGGAGGGAGGGGGCCGCCUGGCGAUCCGCCGCCGGCCGCUGGUUCUAGGGACCUGAUCCCCUAGGCGCGAAGGGAAGAGGGGGUCGACAGUGCCCCCGGACAGCUAAAGAGCGGGGAAAGAUGCGGGGCCGAUCUUGAGCCGCCCCUCUCGGAAGCCGGUCCCGAUCCGCCCUGCCCUCGGGUCCUGCGGCCGAGUCAGUCCUCUUGGACGCAAGGCCCCAACUCCGCAGUGCCCGUUCCUCUCCCUUCGGGCCUCGAGGGCUGGGGUUGGCGGGAUCGCCCUGUGCGGGUCUCUCCGGCUCUCGCUCUUCCUCGUGCCUAGGUUGUCCUCGGCUGCGGAGGGCGACUUUCGGGCUGGUUUUGAUUUCUCAGCGGUGGCUUCCGCGGUUUAUUAGUGGUGGUUCUUAAUCGCUUUUGUGAGCAUCUCUAUUCCUUUGGAGGAAAUGGGCACAAAAAAUGGGACAAACGUCUGCUGCCAGGAAAGUGCACGUCCCUCGGAGUCGGUGCGCAAAGCACACUCGGGGCUGAACUCCUCAGACCAGGGUGAUGAAAUGGGAAACCAGGAGGCCACAUCCUCUUUCCCAGUAGGUUUUCCCUCACCCCUCCAGUUCAGGAGUUGUCAAAGUAUCCUACCUAUACUUGCCAGUUGGUUCGGGAAAAUGGUAGGAACCUCUGAGAAUGUACUGAGUGCCUUUUAUCAUUGCUCCUGCAAGCAUGAGUUCUGCAUCUUACAGAUGGGAAGCAAGGCAUCCUAGCUGGGUUUGUGCAUGUGUAUUUGUGUGUGUGCUUUUUAUGCGAAGAAAUUUCAAGCCAAGGCUUUCAGGAAAGUCAUUUCCAUUGUUUUCCAGCAUUGUCUUUUGCUGCAUUUUGUUAGAUUUGUGAGAGACAAAAGCAGUAAUUAUUACAUUUAGACUGAAUGCAGAUGUUCUGUUCCCAAAAGUUGUAUUUUAGUUUUAGGAAUUGUUUGCAUAAUGGAGCAAAAAGAAAAAGAAAGAAAGAAAGAAAGAAAGAAAGAAAGAAAGAAAGAAAGAAAGAAAGAAAAGGUAGCUGGUUGAGAAGGAAGGAAGGAGAUCUGAUUAUACUAAGGUGAUAAAUCAAACAUCUAAUCAUGCUUCUGGAAGCUAUAAAUGCUUACAUAAUAGUUGUAAAGCAUGCUCCAAAGUAUGCCAACUCUGAGGCAAACAAGGAAGUGUUACAACAAGGCCGCCUGCUUUCCCCUCAUCUCUGUCUCUUGUAUUUAAUGUGCUUUGUUUUGUGACUGGAAAGUAAGCAUAUGCAUAAUUUGCCAUUCUGAUUGCAACAUCUGGCUUCAAUGUCUAGCUUGACCCCCUCCAUUAUUUUUAAAUAUUUGCAGAUGUGGGGGGGGGCAAGCUUUCCAGGUAUGUUUUUUAAAUGACACUUGCCAAGUGCCUUCUGACUGUCCUAAAGUUAAAUGUUCACUAGCUUAAACACAGAUUUGUAGAGACAUUUUGUCAAAUUGUUACCCCUGGUGUGCAGAAUAACUUCAAAAAGUUAGUGCGACCUCCACACAUACACACAACGUACACAUGGACUGCAGCCCUGGCAUAAGAAACAGCGGUCUCUCACCUCCCCCUGCACUGCUGUCAUUCAGACAUACUUUUAGUUCUGAUUAUAUUUAUCUCAGGUUUAAGGCCAUGCUCCCAUUUAGUCUUUCCAUCUGGGUUUGAUUUGUAAUGUUUUAACUGUUUUUGCGUUUAUGGCUUUAUAAAGAGAAGCAUUUAUAAUCCCUCCCCC